Molecule: ribosomal RNA, 484 nt
Filed under: uncultured bacterium
Lineage: Bacteria
Description: partial 16S ribosomal RNA
Rfam family: Bacterial small subunit ribosomal RNA
Source: RNAcentral
AUUGAACGCUGGCGGCAGGCCUAACACAUGCAAGUCGAGCGGAUGAAGGGAGCUUGCUCCUGGAUUCAGCGGCGGACGGGUGAGUAAUGCCUAGGAAUCUGCCUGGUAGUGGGGGAUAACGUCCGGAAACGGGCGCUAAUACCGCAUACGUCCUGAGGGAGAAAGUGGGGGAUCUUCGGACCUCACGCUAUCAGAUGAGCCUAGGUCGGAUUAGCUAGUUGGUGGGGUAAAGGCCUACCAAGGCGACGAUCCGUAACUGGUCUGAGAGGAUGAUCAGUCACACUGGAACUGAGACACGGUCCAGACUCCUACGGGAGGCAGCAGUGGGGAAUCUUGGGCAAUGGGCGAAAGCCUGAUCCAGCCAUGCCGCGUGUGUGAAGAAGGUCUUCGGAUUGUAAAGCACUUUAAGUUGGGAGGAAGGGCAGUAAGUUAAUCCCUUGCUGUUUUGACGUUACCAACAGAAUAAGCACCGGCUAACUUCGUG